UAACGAAUCUUCCGCAAUGGGCGAAAGCCUGACGGAGCAAUGCCGCGUGGAGGACGAAGUCCUUCGGGAUGUAAACUCCUUUUGGGGUGAAGAAAACGAUGCCGGUGAACAUCCGGUGAAAUUGAUCUAGCCCCGAAUAAGCCUCGGCUAACUCUGUGCCAGCAGCCGCGGUAAUACAGAGGAGGCAAGCGUUGUUCGGAAUCACUGGGCUUAAAGCGCGUGUAGGCGGCCCGUCAAGUACCUUGUGAAAUCCCUCGGCUCAACCGGGGAAUGGCUGGGUAUACUGUCGGGCUUGAGGUGGGUAGGGGUGCCUGGAACUCUAGGUGGAGCGGUGAAAUGCGUAGAUAUCUAGAGGAACGCCCGUGGCGAAAGCGGGGCACUGGGCCUAACCUGACGCUAAGACGCGAAAGCGUGGGGAGCAAACGGGAUUAGAUACCCCCGUAGUCC
This 447-nucleotide ribosomal RNA is filed under the name uncultured bacterium. RNAcentral's name for it is "bacterial SSU rRNA". It matches the Rfam family "Bacterial small subunit ribosomal RNA", at positions 355 to 796 of the family's 1533-position model. The record is from RNAcentral.